This 644-nucleotide ribosomal RNA is filed under the name uncultured Chaetomium. RNAcentral's name for it is "eukaryotic LSU rRNA". The stretch from base 268 to 421 matches the Rfam family "5.8S ribosomal RNA". Lineage: Eukaryota; Fungi; Ascomycota; Sordariomycetes; Sordariales; Chaetomiaceae. The record is from RNAcentral.
CUUGGUCAUUUAGAGGAAGUAAAAGUCGUAACAAGGUCUCCGUUGGUGAACCAGCGGAGGGAUCAUUACAGAGUUGCAAAACUCCCUAAACCAUUGUGGACGCUACCUUUUAACGUUGCUUCGGCGGGCGGCCCGCUCCCCUGGAAAGCCCCUGUGGCCGCCCGGGGCUGCGAGCCCCCCGGCCCCCCUCGCGGGGGCGCCCGCCGGAGGAUACCCAACUCUUGAUUAUUUUAGGCCUCUCUGAGUCUUCUGUACUGAAUAAGUCAAAACUUUCAACAACGGAUCUCUUGGCUCUGGCACCGAUGAAGAACGCAGCGAAAUGCGAUAAGUAAUGUGAAUUGCAGAAUUCAGUGAAUCAUCGAAUCUUUGAACGCACAUUGCGCCCGCCAGUAUUCUGGCGGGCAUGCCUGUUCGAGCGUCAUUUCAACCAUCAAGCCCCAGGCUUGUGUUGGGGACCUCGCGGCUGGCCGCAGGCCCUGAAAUCCAGUGGCGGGUUCGCUGUCACCCCGAGCGUAGUAGCAAUAUCUCGCUCAGGGCGUGCUGCGGGCACCGGCCGUUAAAAGCUGCCUUCUGGCAACACCCAAGGUUGACCUCGGAUCAGGUAGGAAGACCCGCUGAACUUAAGCAUAUCAAUAAGCGGAGGA